UACGGAGGGUGCAAGCGUUGUCCGGAAUCACUGGGCGUAAAGGGCGCGUAGGCGGCCUGGUAAGUAGGGGGUGAAAUCCUGCGGCUUAACCGCAGGGCUGCCUUCUAAACUGUCAGGCUUGAGCACGGUAGAGGCAGAUGGAAUUCCCGGUGUAGCGGUGGAAUGCGUAGAGAUCGGGAAGAACAUCAGUGGCGAAGGCGGUCUGCUGGGCCGUUGCUGACGCUGAUGAGCGAAAGCUAGGGGAGCAAACAGG
Molecule: ribosomal RNA, 253 nt
Filed under: uncultured bacterium
Lineage: Bacteria
Description: partial 16S ribosomal RNA
Rfam family: Bacterial small subunit ribosomal RNA
Source: RNAcentral